Molecule: ribosomal RNA, 477 nt
Filed under: uncultured bacterium
Lineage: Bacteria
Description: bacterial SSU rRNA
Rfam family: Bacterial small subunit ribosomal RNA
Source: RNAcentral
CAGGACGAACGCUGGCGGCGUGCUUAACACGUGCAAGUCGAGCGAUGAAGCUUCUCGGAAGUGGAUUAGCGGCGGACGGGUGAGUAACACGUGGGUAACCUGCCUCAUAGAGGGGAAUAGCCUUCCGAAAGGAAGAUUAAUACCGCAUAAGAUUGUAAUAUCGCAUGAUAUAGCAAUUAAAGGAGCAAUCCACUAUGAGAUGGACCCGCGUCGCAUUAGCUAGUUGGUGAGGUAACGGCUCACCAAGGCGACGAUGCGUAGCCGACCUGAGAGGGUGAUCGGCCACAUUGGGACUGAGACACGGCCCAGACUCCUACGGGAGGCAGCAGUGGGGAAUAUUGCACAAUGGGGGAAACCCUGAUGCAGACCAACGCCGCGUGAGUGAUGACGGUCUUCGGAUUGUAAAGCUCUGUCUUCAGGGACGAUAAUGACGGUACCUGAGGAGGAAGCCACGGCUAACUACGUGCCAGCCGCAGC